CUCCUCCUUCUUCCUUUCCUCAUCCGAAGAAGAAGACGAAACGAUUCUACAGAUCAUUGUCCACCACCACCACCACCACACCACCACCACCACCACCAAUUACAAACUAAAACGCUUACUCCAUCCGUUUCACCGCUCCCUCUCCGUCCUCCUCCACCACUCCGGGUCCAUCAGCAGGUCCAGACACUCCCCUACCACGCCCCUAACUGCCACCACCACCACUGCCACCGCCGCCUCAGAAAUACUAGAAGAAAUGGAACUUUUUGCGAGAGGAUUAAUGUUUGUGUUUCGCCAAAGUUGUCUCCCCUAUGAAGGUCUGGCGGUGUUCCUAGCAAGGGUCCAGCGGUUGCAGUUGAGGGGGUGGGGGGAGGCGGCGAGGCACGUGUGGGAGGGGGAGGUGGGGGAGGGGUGUGCCAGAGUGUGGGGGGUGCAAGUAGCAAGCCCCCGGGAUGGUGACAAAGUUAGGGCCGUGGUCGGAGUGUGGAAGGGGCUCAUCGCUAACACACUACCACUGCUGCUACUGAUGCUGGCCCCGUUGUUAGAGGCGCGUGAAAUUCGGCAGCAGUUAUUUAUGGGUUUCCGAGAUAAAGUGUUGCCAUAUGCCGGUCUGCCACUUCUACUGUCACCACCACCACCACCACCACCACCACCACUGCCACUGCCACCACCACCACUGCCACUGCCACGUUCUCUACUCUGUCACUAUCAAACGGUUCUGCAAAUGGCCCUUCGACUCGCUAGUGUUGGUCCCUGCACGUGUCACCUCAAGGAAGAAGAAGAGGAGGAGGAGGAGGAGGAGGAGGAGGAGGAGGAGGAGGAGGAGGAGGAAGGAAGGAAGAGGAGACACACAUGGAGAGAAAAUGACAACGAAGCGGUUAGGAUCAUCAAGGCGAUGGAGAGAAGGAGAGAAGACGGAGGAAUGGAGGAAAAAAUUCUCUCCAACCUCCUUCACCUUCACCACGGUCCUAACUCCCACCACUGUCCUAACUUCCACCACCACCACCACCACCACCACCACCGACGCCACCACCACUACCACCACCGCCACCCUCUCCACUUAAUAGAAGGUACCCCGGUCCUAACUUCCCGUCCCGCCUCGUUCCUAACUUUGGAUGAUUUGAUAAAGACCGCCGCACGACGCUGAGUUAGGAACGUAGAACAAGAAGAAGAAGAAGAAGAAGAAGAAGAGGA
This is a long non-coding RNA of Portunus trituberculatus (swimming crab), 1191 nucleotides long. RefSeq lists it as uncharacterized. NCBI's taxonomy places the organism in Eukaryota, Metazoa, Arthropoda, Malacostraca, Decapoda, Portunidae. The transcript is spliced from 7 exons. The record is from RefSeq and is a predicted model, not a curated record.